CAGUCGAACGACUCUGGUAUUGAUUGGUGCUUGCAUCAUGAUUUACAUUUGAGUGAGUGGCGAACUGGUGAGUAACACGUGGGAAACCUGCCCAGAAGCGGGGGAUAACACCUGGAAACAGAUGCUAAUACCGCAUAACAACUUGGACCGCAUGGUCCGAGCUUGAAAGAUGGCUUCGGCUAUCACUUUUGGAUGGUCCCGCGGCGUAUUAGCUAGAUGGUGAGGUAACGGCUCACCAUGGCAAUGAUACGUAGCCGACCUGAGAGGGUAAUCGGCCACAUUGGGACUGAGACACGGCCCAAACUCCUACGGGAGGCAGCAGUAGGGAAUCUUCCACAAUGGACGAAAGUCUGAUGGAGCAACGCCGCGUGAGUGAAGAAGGGUUUCGGCUCGUAAAACUCUGUUGUUAAAGAAGAACAUAUCUGAGAGUAACUGUUCAGGUAUUGACGGUAUUUAACCAGAAAGCCACGGCUAACUACGUGCCAGCAGCCGCGGUAAUACGUAGGUGGCAAGCGUUGUCCGGAUUUAUUGGGCGUAAAGCGAGCGCAGGCGGUUUUUUAAGUCUGAUGUGAAAGCCUUCGGCUCAACCGAAGAAGUGCAUCGGAAACUGGGAAACUUGAGUGCAGAAGAGGACAGUGGAACUCCAUGUGUAGCGGUGAAAUGCGUAGAUAUAUGGAAGAACACCAGUGGCGAAGGCGGCUGUCUGGUCUGUAACUGACGCUGAGGCUCGAAAGUAUGGGUAGCAAACAGGAUUAGAUACCCUGGUAGUCCAUACCGUAAACGAUGAAUGCUAAGUGUUGGAGGGUUUCCGCCCUUCAGUGCUGCAGCUAACGCAUUAAGCAUUCCGCCUGGGGAGUACGGCCGCAAGGCUGAAACUCAAAGGAAUUGACGGGGGCCCGCACAAGCGGUGGAGCAUGUGGUUUAAUUCGAAGCUACGCGAAGAACCUUACCAGGUCUUGACAUACUAUGCAAAUCUAAGAGAUUAGACGUUCCCUUCGGGGACAUGGAUACAGGUGGUGCAUGGUUGUCGUCAGCUCGUGUCGUGAGAUGUUGGGUUAAGUCCCGCAACGAGCGCAACCCUUAUUAUCAGUUGCCAGCAUUAAGUUGGGCACUCUGGUGAGACUGCCGGUGACAAACCGGAGGAAGGUGGGGAUGACGUCAAAUCAUCAUGCCCCUUAUGACCUGGGCUACACACGUGCUACAAUGGAUGGUACAACGAGUUGCGAACUCGCGAGAGUAAGCUAAUCUCUUAAAGCCAUUCUCAGUUCGGAUUGUAGGCUGCAACUCGCCUACAUGAAGUCGGAAUCGCUAGUAAUCGCGGAUCAGCAUGCCGCGGUGAAUACGUUCCCGGGCCUUGUACACACCGCCCGUCACACCAUGAGAGUU
RNAcentral lists this ribosomal RNA (1386 nucleotides) under Lactiplantibacillus plantarum. Its description in RNAcentral is "bacterial SSU rRNA". It matches the Rfam family "Bacterial small subunit ribosomal RNA", at positions 59 to 1412 of the family's 1533-position model. The record is from RNAcentral. Lineage: Bacteria; Bacillati; Bacillota; Bacilli; Lactobacillales; Lactobacillaceae.